RNAcentral lists this long non-coding RNA (3311 nucleotides) under Homo sapiens (human). RNAcentral describes it as "HSALNT0358734". The record is from RNAcentral. Lineage: Eukaryota; Metazoa; Chordata; Mammalia; Primates; Hominidae.
CCCUGUUUCCUGGAAGACAGGGUGCCUUUGGCAACUUCAAUUCACCCGGGUUCAACUAGCUAAUAAGUGUGCUGGGUCAGGAGGAGGGUGGUCAAGGUUUUCCAAUUAUGAGCCCUUGAAGAGAGGGCUUCAGGGCCUGAGAAGGUCUGAACAUGACCCCUGUCCAUGGGCGGUGGAGCGGGGCUAGAGAGGAGCAUGCCUUGGCUUUGCACUCAGAUGAAACUGAGUUUAAUGACUACCUCUGGGGCCCUGCUGGGACCACACCUGCAUUGAUGUUCGCCUGGAUGCGGCCAGUCUCCGUAUGCCUCCCAGGACUGCAUCUUGACCCCUCAGCCAGGCUGGAUGCUCCCAGAGAACGCCUGUUUGCUCUUCUUCCAUCUCCAUCACCUCCAUCCUCCCAAACCCAGAACAGAGUAUGAGCCCAAUAGACCUCACAAAUGACCCACGACACUCGAGUCCCACCCCAAUCUCUACACAACACUGCUGUGCGGGCGUUUCCACAUGGCCCUGAGGACCAGCUCCACACUCCUCAAAGGGGUUCCUGACCCAGACAAGACUAAGAACCUGUGCCAGCCGCUAGGGAAAUGGAGACCCAGACAGGAAGUUAGGAGGUUUCUUAGAUCUGCAUUUUGGGUGGAAGAGCAAGGACUCAAACCAAGGUCUUCUGGCACCGAAGUCUGGCUCCCUAGAAAGUAUGGUAGCCCACCUGAAGUCACCUGUGCCCCAGGGUGUGGGCCAGCCCCACCAACAACUCCCUUUGUUACUCCAGGCACGUCCCUGACCCCUGGGGCCUCAGGGUGGAGGUGAUGAGCAGAGCAUAAAUCCGCUCAGUGCGAGCAAGCUCUGCUGGAAUCACCAUGACAAAUCAUUUAUCCAGCCUAAAAUCAGAAGGGACAUGGGGUGGGAGAGGCCCCUGGGGGCCGAGUGGGCCUGUUGCGCCUCCUUGGAUACAGGCACCAACCUGCGCACUGCCCUUUUCAUCUGGUCUGCCUGGCUCCCUAUAGGCAGUGCCUACUCACUGCGCUCUCCAGGACAAGGCAAAAGCCAGGCCAGCUCCCCAGGCCCCUGGCCCCUGGCAAUGGCAUCACUCCCACAGACCCAGAGCUUCCACAACUGAGACAACUCCCAGGGUGCUGGCCAGUUGAGCCCAUGAGUGUCCUUAUUCACAGACAGUUUAUCCUCAGCAGCCCAGUACCCACCACCUGCUGUUAGAGCCUCCCCUGCUGACCUGGGGUCACCGAGGCCCAUUAGGAUGUCCAGUCCAGCCUUGUCCAAAGGCUUCCCCAAGACGCUCGGUGGAUACAAAGGGCCCAGGACUUGGGAAAGCUGCGCGGCAAAGCUGGUCUUAAAGACUGAGAGCCCAUUGCACAUUCCAGGCCCAGACAAGGCUUUCAGGAGAAAACAAGACCAAAUUUCUUAAGCAUCCUAUAUAUGCGUGUGAGAGUGUUUCCACAUGUACUUUAUAAGCACAGAGAGAGACACGCGAGGAAACAUCGCUUGCUCUGCAAAGUGAGAACGACGAAGAGUGGUGAUGAUCGAUGUUUGCUUUAUAUGACUCUGCACUUUGUGUGUGUCUCAGUGAGUCUGCAUUUUCUCUGAAAUUAAAUCAAUUAUUUUAAUAAAAAAGAGUUGGGAGAAAAAGCUGCUGAACUUUAACCCAGCAUUUCCCAAACUCACCUGAUGAUGAGUUGCUGUUCUGUGCAACGCCUAGAAAUGUCAGAGAUAUGCAUAGACUGUAGUCUGGAGACAGAUAAACUUACCCAGCUUUUAAUACAUAAGACCAUCGUGCCUUCUGAUGCUGAGAGGCAGAAACAGGAAGAGGCUUGCAGAAUACAGACACUCCAUCAACAUCAGACUGGAGCCCAGAGCUCCCUACAGCCCAGUCCUAACCCUGCUGCUCUGCCAGUUCCCUCUUUAAGUAGGAGGGACAUUACUCCAGGGGUGGUGGAGUGGUUGUGGCAGUGACACAGAAGCACCUGGCAGGGAGGGUGACAGGGCCACAGAGGAGUCGGGCAGAGCCAGUAUUGGGAAGACACAAGCUGCUCUAAGAGAAGAACUGAAAAUCAUGUGAUCACACAGUACACCCCUGACAUCCUACAGCCACAGACCAAAUCCCUGCUCCAGCCCUUCUGGCUUCUACCCAGCAAGUUGCCUAAUCCCCCUGGGCAUGGAGUGGAAUAGGGGUUGGAUGGAAUGACCCCUAGAGUCUCUUCAGCCCAAGAUUCCAGGGGCUUCACAAUGAUCAGCAUGGGCACUAUCCUGCAAAUCAUCGCCUCCACCUUAUAAGUGACGUAAUCAAGACUCAGACAGGUUAAUUGACUUCUUCAAGGUCAACAGAGAAUAAAAACGGAGUCCAAGACCCAUGCUGUCAUUGGCCUUGCCAUUGGUCAUCCUCUGCUUUGUGGCUUCAGGAACUGCUAUUUGUGUCUGAGCCAGCCACAGUGUGAGACAGAUGGUGUUUCCAGUACAGGCUCCACCUACUAAGUGUACAAUCUGGACCUGUUGAGUAACCACCCUGAGUCUGUUUACUCCUCUAUAAUUGGGAACAUCAUCUCAUUGGUUAUAUGGCAAUAUCAUCACAUCAACUUAGCACAGGGCCCCACACACUUAAGUUUUUGCUGAAUUAGAACUAUUAUUGUUACCAUCAUUCUAUAAAUUUAUCCUAUGGUUGAGAGAAAAAGGAGAGGCAGGGAUUGAACUCAAGAUCUACUGAUCUAUUCAAGAUCUAUUCAAGAUCAGUAGAUCUACCUCCUCCUGUGCAGGAGGAAAUCUGCACAGACACAUUCCAGCCCCUGUCUGGAACCUCAGUUUCCCCAUCUAUAAUAAGAGAGGCUAUACUGGGUGACUUCUGGGAGCCCCCAGAUCUAUAGUCUGCAUGGAAUAAAGCUCCCAUGAAAUGCUUUUUUCCCACCAUGGGCUGGAGAAGUUUGCCUUCCAGCAACCUAUAAUCCUUCCUGGGAGAUGGGCAUGUAGGGGUGGUGAAAGGGAGGAGGGACAGGCAGGAACAGGACCCAAGACAGAGUGGAGAGGAGAUGACUUCGGCACUUCCUGUAUGCCAGGCACUGGGAUAGGAGCUUUACACAGACUAACUCAUUCAGUCCCCAGAACAAACCUGUGGGGUUGAUACUAGUUAACCAUUUUACAGACAAGGAUACUUACAACCAUAGAAACAAAGUAACGUGCCCAAGGUCACAGGGUUGAUGAGGCAGGACUUGAACCCAGACCUCCCAGACCUUCAUGGCUUCAAAGACUGUGCCCUGAACCACUGGGUGAUGCGAGCUCUGGGUCUGCCUGCAGAGACAGAGACGUGC